AAAGUCGUAACAAGGUCUCCGUAGGUGAACCUGCGGAGGGAUCAUUACCGAGUGCGGGCCCUCGCGCCCAACCUCCCAACCCUUUGUCGAUUCGUAUCUGUUGCCUCGGGGGGCGACCCGGACGUCACGUCCGGGAGUCCCCCAGAGGUCCAACCCAACACACUGCGUCUUUGCGUCGGAGUAUUGAAAACAAAUCAAUCAAAACUUUCAACAACGGAUCUCUUGGUUCUG
Molecule: unclassified non-coding RNA, 231 nt
Filed under: Paradevriesia pseudoamericana
Lineage: Eukaryota; Fungi; Ascomycota; Dothideomycetes; Capnodiales; Paradevriesiaceae
Description: Devriesia pseudoamericana partial internal transcribed spacer region
Rfam family: Eukaryotic small subunit ribosomal RNA (bases 1-47)
Source: RNAcentral